RNAcentral lists this transfer RNA (76 nucleotides) under Shewanella piezotolerans WP3. Its description in RNAcentral is "tRNA-Val". The record is from RNAcentral. Lineage: Bacteria; Pseudomonadati; Pseudomonadota; Gammaproteobacteria; Alteromonadales; Shewanellaceae.
UUUUAACUUUAGGUUUACUGCAAGGGCUAGCAUUACUGAUGUUCUUUCCAAAUACCCUAGGUUACGUUGGCCUGAG